Molecule: ribosomal RNA, 403 nt
Filed under: Fusobacteriota bacterium
Lineage: Bacteria; Fusobacteriati; Fusobacteriota
Description: Fusobacteria bacterium partial 16S ribosomal RNA
Rfam family: Bacterial small subunit ribosomal RNA
Source: RNAcentral
UGGGGAAUAUUGCACAAUGGGGGAAACCCUGAUGCAGCGACGCCGCGUGAGCGAAGAAGGUUUUCGAAUCGUAAAGCUCUGUCCUAUGGGAAGAUAAUGACGGUACCAUAGGAGGAAGCCCCGGCUAACUACGUGCCAGCAGCCGCGGUAAUACGUAGGGGGCAAGCGUUGUCCGGAAUCACUGGGCGUAAAGGGUUCGCAGGCGGAAAUGCAAGUCAGUUGUGAAAGGCAGAGGCUCAACCUCUGUAAGCAAUUGAAACUGUAUUUCUUGAGAGGUGGAGAGGCAAGUGGAAUUCCUAGUGUAGCGGUGAAAUGCGUAGAUAUUAGGAAGAAUACCGGUGGCGAAGGCGACUUGCUGGACACAAACUGACGCUGAGGAACGAAAGCGUGGGUAGCAAACAGG